This 830-nucleotide ribosomal RNA is filed under the name uncultured bacterium. RNAcentral describes it as "SSU rRNA". It matches the Rfam family "Bacterial small subunit ribosomal RNA", at positions 60 to 888 of the family's 1533-position model. The record is from RNAcentral.
AGUCGUGGGGCAGCGGGUGUAGCAAUACAUGCCGGCGACCGGCGCACGGGUGAGUAACGCGUAUGCAAUUUACCUCUAACUGGGGGAUAGCUCAGAGAAAUCUGGAUUAAUACCCCAUAACACUAUUUGAAGGCAUCUUCGAAUAUUUAAAGCUCCGGCGGUUAGAGAUGAGCAUGCGUGCCAUUAGCUUGUUGGUAGGGUAACGGCCUACCAAGGCUACGAUGGCUAGGGGGUCUGAGAGGAUGAUCCCCCACACUGGUACUGAGACACGGACCAGACUCCUACGGGAGGCAGCAGUGAGGAAUAUUGGUCAAUGGGCGCAAGCCUGAACCAGCCAUGCCGCGUGAAGGAUGAAGGCGCUACGCGUUGUAAACUUCUUUUGUACGGGGCGAAACGUUUUUACGUGUAGAGACCUGACAGUACCGUAUGAAUAAGCAUCGGCUAACUCCGUGCCAGCAGCCGCGGUAAUACGGAGGAUGCAAGCGUUAUCCGGAUUUAUUGGGUUUAAAGGGUGCGUAGGCGGGAUGAUAAGUCAGUGGUGAAAUAUUGCAGCUUAACUGUAAAACUGCCAUUGAUACUGUCGUUCUUGAGUUCAGUUGAGGUGGGCGGAAUGUGUAAUGUAGCGGUGAAAUGCUUAGAUAUUACACAGAACACCGAUUGCGUAGGCAGCUCACUAAACUGAUACUGACGCUGAGGCAUGAAAGCGUGGGGAUCAAACAGGAUUAGAUACCCUGGUAGUCCACGCUGUAAACUAUGAUCACUCGUUGUUGGCGACACACAGUCAGCGGCUGAGCGAAAGCAUUAAGUGAUCCACCUGGGGAGUACGGUCG